CAGAGACCGACCCAGGACCUGAGCAUAAAGAGAACAUUUUAAGGCCUGAAUGCUGGCCCAUCAGUGUUUCCUCCACCCCCCGGGGGAGCUAAGGAACCACGUCUGCUCCCUCUGGCAUCUUUUUAAAGGGGAACAGAUUCUCUUUACAGCAUACUGUUUCUUAAAACCAGUUUAAGAACCAGACCAAUUCCUGAUUAGCACAUAGGACCCGGGGAAAGGGGCUUAUCAGAUAUGCAGAAAUUACUCCAAGAUGAUUUUAUCUUUCUCACCUGUUUUCCAAAAGUUACAAGUUAUUUUGCAAAUUAGAAGAGAGUAUUUUCCCUUGGUUAAAUCACAGUGAAAUCAUCAAGGGAAAACAUUUGCAUGUAUAAAGCUUCCUGAAGGUCUCUCAAAAGUACCAAAGCUUGUUUAUUCCUUAUCAUUAACCCAAGCCCUUAUGAAAGGAAACAAAAUGAAGAGUUGUGACUGGUGUUAUCAAAAAAUGCCAGCUGGAAAGAAGGGGGUGCAUGAAAGCAGAAUGACUGCUGCGUCCCGACCCAGAGAGCCUGCUGUUUGGGGGCACCAAGCCCAUGCUCACCCCUCCUUAGUUUGCACAAUUCUGUCUUCCACUUUGGAAUCGUAUAGACAAGUUUGAUUUGUAAUUUCAAUACAUAUUUUAAGUGUAUUGUGUCUUAUGUAGUUUGUCCCCCACCCCUUUCGAAGGGAUUUCUUUUUAAAGAUAUUUUGGCUGGAAUACAGGUUACUUUUGUAAAUCCUGUCUGGCUCCAUCUUUCUUACACUCUUAGUUGACUGCUGGCUUGAAGAUUGAAAAUAUUGUGAGGAUUGGAGGUGGACGGGAGAGGGUCCUUAUGCCACUGGGAACACAGCUUUUAAAAAAAUUGAGUUAUAAUUAACAUGCAGUAGGAUAAUGUUAUGGGUGUACUUCAUUGUGGUUCAGUGUUUUUAUACAUUAUGAAAUGAUCACCAACAGUAAGACCAGCAAUCAUUUGUCACAUGGUAGCUGUGACUGU
This 1010-nucleotide long non-coding RNA is filed under the name Bos grunniens (domestic yak). RNAcentral's name for it is "lncRNA (ENSBGRG00000015465.1)". Lineage: Eukaryota; Metazoa; Chordata; Mammalia; Artiodactyla; Bovidae. The record is from RNAcentral.